This 493-nucleotide ribosomal RNA is filed under the name bacterium SCUT3. RNAcentral's name for it is "bacterial SSU rRNA". It matches the Rfam family "Bacterial small subunit ribosomal RNA", at positions 39 to 526 of the family's 1533-position model. The record is from RNAcentral.
GUGCAGUGCGGAUGCUUAAAUGCAGUCGAACGGUAACAGGUCUUCGGAUGCUGACGAGUGGCGAACGGGUGAGUAAUACAUCGGAACGUGCCUAGUAGUGGGGGAUAACUACUCGAAAGAGUGGCUAAUACCGCAUGAGAUCUACGGAUGAAAGCAGGGGAUCGCAAGACCUUGUGCUACUAGAGCGGCCGAUGGCAGAUUAGGUAGUUGGUGGGAUAAAAGCUUACCAAGCCGACGAUCUGUAGCUGGUCUGAGAGGACGAUCAGCCACACUGGGACUGAGACACGGCCCAGACUCCUACGGGAGGCAGCAGUGGGGAAUUUUGGACAAUGGGCGCAAGCCUGAUCCAGCAAUGCCGCGUGCAGGAUGAAGGCCUUCGGGUUGUAAACUGCUUUUGUACGGAACGAAAAGCCCUGGGUUAAUACCCUGGGGUCAUGACGGUACCGUAAGAAUAAGCACCGGCUAACUACGUGCCAGCACCGGCCGGUAAAAA